This is a long non-coding RNA of Tetranychus urticae (two-spotted spider mite), 446 nucleotides long. RefSeq lists it as uncharacterized. NCBI's taxonomy places the organism in Eukaryota, Metazoa, Arthropoda, Arachnida, Trombidiformes, Tetranychidae. The record is from RefSeq and is a predicted model, not a curated record.
UAAAAAGCAAAUGUUUCAAUCAAAGAGUAUCAGUUUCAGUUUAAAUUACAUCAAGCGAUCUAAAAAUUUUGUGCUAUUAUAAGUCUUUCACAACUUGAAUAUACAAUAUGCAGUUCUGCAAAAUCAACUUUUUUGUCUUUUUGGUUACUUGGAUUACCGUUUUUAGCUUUGCUAAAGCCAGCCAAGUUCCACACAGUCGUCCACGUAAUCACUAAAACGUAGAUCUGCAGCUGAUUUUGAUUCUUACAGACUUCAAAUAGCAGCAUACCCAUACAUUCAUCUAUAAUGAUUAUAAACUUUACAAAAUAAUUCUGGAUCGCAAAUUUGAUCGAACCCAAUCAUAUUCCCUGUACUACAAAAAUGCUUUCAGAAACAACUACCUUCAAUGUUAAUUUUGAGAUGAAAUAAAAUUAAUACAGCAUCAAUUUGCUGACACUAAAAACAAA